This 392-nucleotide ribosomal RNA is filed under the name uncultured bacterium. RNAcentral's name for it is "partial 16S ribosomal RNA". It matches the Rfam family "Bacterial small subunit ribosomal RNA", at positions 523 to 918 of the family's 1533-position model. The record is from RNAcentral.
AUACGGAGGAUCCGAGCGUUAUCCGGAUUUAUUGGGUUUAAAGGGUGCGCAGGCGGCCAUUUAAGUCAGCGGUUAAAUCGUGGGGCUCAACCCCAUUCUGCCGUUGAUACUGGGUGGCUUGAUUGCGGUCGAGGUUGGCGGAAUUCGUUGUGUAGCGGUGAAAUGCAUAGAUAUGACGGAGAACACCGAUUGCGUAGGCAGCUGACCAGACCGCAAAUGACGCUCAUGCACGAAAGUGCGGGGAUCGAACAGGAUUAGAUACCCUGGUAGUCCGCACAGUAAACGAUGAAUACUUGUUUUCGGCGAUAUAAUGUCGGAGGCAAAGCGAAAGCGAUAAGUAUUCCACCUGGGGAGUACGCCGGCAACGGUGAGACUCAAAGGAAUUGACGGGG